Molecule: microRNA precursor, 225 nt
Filed under: Solanum tuberosum (potato)
Lineage: Eukaryota; Viridiplantae; Streptophyta; Magnoliopsida; Solanales; Solanaceae
Description: MIR8007 microRNA precursor family
Rfam family: MIR8007 microRNA precursor family
Source: Rfam by way of RNAcentral
AUGUGGCACUUUUCGAAUUACGAGAUUCAAACAAGUCUAUCUUUGACCAUAAAUUUUGCAUACAUCUUUUAAAUAUUUUGAAUUGUCAAUUAUUGUGACUUAUAGUACUUUUUACGUAGUUUAUAAAUAUAUAAAUUUCAUUUCAAAAAAUUUGAAAAUUCCAUGAGUAAAUCGUCGGUCAAACUUAAACUGUUUGACUCUCGAAAAAUGAAAAGUGCCACAUAA